UGGGAGGCUCAUUGAGCUGCGGUAAUGCCAGGGCACUUAUUCAUCAUCCUCUCCCAUGCUGCUUCCAGACUUGACAGUCAGCACAACAAACACUUAAUGACUCCUGACUUCCGGGAGGCCUCAUGUUUCACACCCGAUGGGCAACAGUCUGUAGUGGUCUGUUCCUCCCCAUGUUUGCGAAAAACUGGCAGAGGCAUAAUCGUAAAGUUUUAUUCUCCCAUCUUCUUCUGCUCGUUUGUAAGUGCUUCCAGACACACAUAACUUACUGAUAGUCGGACUCUGAAAGAAGCUUCUCCAAGAACGCCUGCUGGUUGCUGGCUUGUUUGGUGACUUGGAGAUGGUGAUAUGUUGGGAUGAUACCCAGGAGGUCCAGGAAUAGACUUCACAGGAGAAUAUGCCCGGGUGGCUGCUUGGCCCAGAAUGAUGAGGGUGGAGCCAACCUGAACCCAACCUGCAACCUGGAGAUGAUCCCGGCCAACCCAGAGAACUGUGCGUGAGAAAAAUAAAUGUUGACAGGGGUUGGCAUGAUUCUUUUUGUAAAGGGCCAGACAAUCUCAGAUGCAGUUUCUCAACUCUGCUCCUGCAGCACCGAGGCAGCCACAGACAACACAGAAGCAGAUGAGCGUUCCUGGGUCCAAUAAAACUUUAUCUGUAGACACUAAAAUUGGAAAUUCACAUCAUUCUUUU
Callithrix jacchus (white-tufted-ear marmoset) is the source of this 687-nucleotide long non-coding RNA. RefSeq lists it as uncharacterized. The record is from RefSeq and is a predicted model, not a curated record. Lineage: Eukaryota; Metazoa; Chordata; Mammalia; Primates; Cebidae.